Molecule: unclassified non-coding RNA, 261 nt
Filed under: fungal sp.
Lineage: Eukaryota; Fungi
Description: partial internal transcribed spacer region
Rfam family: Eukaryotic small subunit ribosomal RNA (bases 1-45)
Source: RNAcentral
AGUCGUAACAAGGUUUCCGUAGGUGAACCUGCGGAAGGAUCAUUAACACUAAUGAAAAAAGGCGUCUAGCAAUCGUAAGGUUGAUUAGACUAACCUUUUCUCUAACUAUGUGAAUCUGUUUUAUAGAUAUAACAUUGCGGUUAUUAUCGUAAUGUUAUACUAUAUUUUUUUUACGAAUUGUUGUCCAUUUGUAUUGCAUAUAUCAUUAAUUUGAUAUAUAAUUAACAAAGACAACUUUGAGCAACGGAUAUCUUGGUUCUC